Molecule: long non-coding RNA, 577 nt
Organism: Cyprinus carpio (common carp)
Lineage: Eukaryota; Metazoa; Chordata; Actinopteri; Cypriniformes; Cyprinidae
Source: Ensembl
AGCUGCAGUAUAAGCUGAUAAUGGAGCUUCCAAAGUCGAGCAGUAAAGGUUGAGUGACACUUGUGUCCUCUCUCACAUCUUCUCAAACAAUACCAUUGGACAGAUGUAUGAUUGGUACACGUCUAACUUGCACCAAAAUUCCACGACAGGAUCCAGCCGGAGAAUCUGUAAGCACACAGACAGCAACGAGAUCCAGAGAGACAGAAAGAACUAUGUGGAACAGACUUUGGAGGAAACCUGCUCACCACACGCCACAGAGAUCAGCAGUCAUUUACAAUGUAGAGAAACCAGAUCAAAUUUCCUCACCACCGACAGAACAGACAAUCCUUCAGAAGCCAAAGCAGGGUUCAUCACUUCUCUACAGCCUCUGAUGAUCCAGUGUCGUCCAUCUCAGGCCCCUCGACCUCCCUCCCUACAGGAAUGUGAGCUCCUCAUUCGUCAGCUGUACAACGCUAACACCCUGCAGUCCCAGGAGAUCCAACGUGUGAAAGCCGCUCUCAAAGACAUUGUAUUCAACAAGAAAAUAACUGCAGAGAAUUACAUUUUGACCAAGGCAUAUCUUCAUGGUAAAAGGUAA